UACAGAGGGGGCGAGCGUUGUUCGGAAUUACUGGGCGUAAAGGGCGCGUAGGCGGCCAACUAAGUCAGACGUAAAAAUCCCUCGGCUCAACCGGGGAACUGCGUCUGAUACUGGAUGGCUUGAAUUCGGGAGAGGGAUGCGGAAUUCCGAGGUGUAGCGGUGAAAUGCGUAGAGUAUCUGGAGGAACACCGGUGGCGAAGGCGGCAUCCUGGCCG
RNAcentral lists this ribosomal RNA (215 nucleotides) under uncultured bacterium. Its description in RNAcentral is "partial 16S ribosomal RNA". It matches the Rfam family "Bacterial small subunit ribosomal RNA", at positions 524 to 735 of the family's 1533-position model. The record is from RNAcentral.